AUCAUCUUAACCAAAUCUUUAUUACUUUUUUCACUACAAAAAAGUGGCAUAUACCUAUACUUAUUUAGCUACGCUUAAUUAAAUGUGGCUGAUAAAUUGCAUUUAGGCACGUUUAAUAAGUGUGGGAAUAAUAGCCACGCUUAUAAGUGUGACCGAAUUAUAUCCACACUUACAAGCGUAAAAUCCAAUUUUAAAAUAAAAAAAUCUGAAUAAUAUACCAUCCUAAUAAACAUGCCUAAAUCCAAUUCAAAAAUGUUAGUAUGCUCGACACUCCUCACUUGGGUUUUCAUCUUCCUCAACCCUAAUCUACUCUCAUCUCCUCUUCCUCCUUCCUCACUUUUGAUCUCACGCUAUGUACACUGCACAAGUUGACGGUUAUUGGUUUCCCUCUUCACCACCGACAGUGGCCUGUAGCAUAGCCUCCCAUUUUAAUUCCAAUUGAUCGCAGUUCUGAAUUCUUAGGUAAUUUAUUACUAUAUAUUCAAAGAUAUUUCAUCACAGCUCUUUUUAAUGUGCUCUUUCGCCACAUUGUUUAUGGAUUUUUCAUCAGUAAACAAUUGCUUGUAUGCACUUGUUCUUAUUCUGAUUUUCUAGUGUAAAUAUCAUUGUUUUGGUCUUUACUUAUCUUUUUGAUGAAGUUUUAAGGUUUAUUUUUGUUAUUAAUAUAAUAUUUUGAUGUAGAUGAAUUGAAGACUUUUGGUUAGUUACUAUAAAAGAUUCAUGACUUUAUUUUUUUCUUGUACUUGUAAUUGUUUCCUUGAUUUUAGGUUUUUUUUGUCCUUAUCAUGAUGGGUUUGAGGAGUUGAAUGAGUGGGGAUAUUAUCCCUAGGUACUAAAGGGGUUGCUCAGUUGUCUGAGUUGCAAAAUUGUUGGUAUUUUUGAAAGCUAAAGUAGGAUAAGAGUCAUUUGGGUCUUAUAGGUAAUGUAAAUAAGUAUGAAUCUUGAUGAAUUUCUUAAAACUGCUUGGACUCCUAAAAACAUUUGGAGCACUAGUAUUGAAGGAAACAAUAAAGGUUCCUCAACCAAGCUAUUGUAAAGUGUGGGAAACUUACCUAUUUCCAAGACUGCAAGUGAAAAGAUUGUUGAUAAAAUGUGGAGAUAGUUACAACAAGGGGAGAAGAUUAACACUAGUAAGGAAGUGAAAAGAGAGCCUAUGACUUUAGAGGGCUUCUUAACCAAAGUAUGAGCCAUUUUGAAUCCUCUUUAGGUGAUCGUGUAGUGUCUAUGGAUGCUGCUGCUACUUCAGUCUUUUUCAUAGACAGUGGGUUUGUUUCCGGAUACUUCAGAUACACUAUAUUCACUUGAUGGGAGCACACUUAAUAAGAUGAAGAGGAAAAUUAAGAAUAGAGUUUCAGCUGCCUAUUCUCAUAACAGGUUGUUUGUUUUUAAUUUUUGUCUUUUAACUAUUUUUGUUCCUUAUUGAUUGUCUUGUAGAACCUUGACUUUAUUAUAACUGUAUAUAUGCAGAGGCUUACCGUAAUGAGUUCGUAAGUAAGGUUUCACUGCCUGAGGAGCAAAAGAUGAGGCACAAAUAAAAGGUACUGGAAAAACUACACUGUCAAUUUACAAUAACCGUUACCAGAUUGAUGACGAUGAACAUUACUAGGUAUAAUGGUCAUGGUCGGUGCUGCUUUUCAGUAUGUGGCUUUGUUGUAUGUUCGAUGCAAAUCUCGAAUCUGUGUAGUCUCAAUUGAAUGUAUUGUCGCUGUUUCGGACAUUCGGUCGUGUUGUGCGUAUAGCUUGCUGUUUUUGUUCAGGACCAAUACUUGUCUAGUUAUCAAGAUGGGCAUGUCCUCUUGUAUAGGUCCUUAAUUAGGGUCUAUGAAAUACGCUAAGCUAAAAACUUUUAUUACUUGGCUUUUUUGGGUUACUAUGCGUAAUUCAUUGUUGAACUACUUUGUACAAUUGUACUUCUAUAUAGUUUUAUUGUUGAUGUUAAAUGUAUACAAAUAUGUAUGCACACUUUGAAAA
This is a long non-coding RNA of Amaranthus tricolor (Joseph's coat), 1971 nucleotides long. RefSeq lists it as uncharacterized. The record is from RefSeq and is a predicted model, not a curated record. The transcript is spliced from 2 exons. NCBI's taxonomy places the organism in Eukaryota, Viridiplantae, Streptophyta, Magnoliopsida, Caryophyllales, Amaranthaceae.